GUGAUCACUUGUGUAAGAGUUUCCAUGUUUGAAUCACAAUCAAUUCCGUCGAGAAAAACAAGAAGAGGAGGAUCAGAACAUCAAAGGAGGAUAUCAUGAAGGGAUCAUCAGCCGAACUUUCAAGGGUGCAGGUGGUGGUGAAUGGUAGAAAGAGGAAGAAAGACUUGUGGACUCUUCAGGAGAAUUAGAAGUGGAAAAAAGCAUUGCAGAGAUGCAGGCUAUCAGUUAACUUGAUUAGUAGGGAAGGAAAGACAGUAAUUUUGUGGUGGCUUAUGACUCCCAAAAGUUCUUUUGCACCGCCAGUAAAUGCAUAUGAAACACGCUUAACGAUACAUGGCAUGGCAGUAACAAAAUAAAUGAUACAAGAUCACUAACACGGUAAGAGGACUAUUUUCUCAGGUUAGCUCCAACAGCAAGGGAAGGGAAGGGGUAAACAUGAAAGCAAACUUGCUUGCAGGAAACAUGGCUAUUACUUAGGACAACAAAUUACAGCAAGAUAAAGGUAGAAAGGUUAGGAUAUCGGCCAUAUGCUCACGUGCUUCAAAAGUUCUGGGAACUUUGUCAACAACAACUUAUUAUUUCAGGCUAAAGGAAUGCCGGAAAUUGCAAGUAGUCAUGUGAACAAAGUUAACGUGUCACGUAUGUCGACAAGAACACAUGACUACAAUUUUUGGAAUUCAAGAAGGAAGAAAGCAAAAUAUGAGGAGAUGCACCAUCAUUUAAUGUUAAACUUCCUCAACCAACAUUCCACGAAAAAUUUAAGGUAACAUCAUUUUGUUUAAAUCAUAACAUUGUAGUUAUUGCUAAGAUAUAAACUUGCUUUCCUAAAUUUUUUAAGGGUUCAAGUUCAAUCAGUGAUGAAAAAUUUCCAAUUGGUAGAAUGUUGUUCAGAUUUAACCCGCAUGCUUUAGAUAAGAAUCACUAUGCAGCAAAACGAUCGUUUCAGAUGGAUCAUCCAACUAAUGUAAGUGCCCGUUUAAGGGUUCAAGUUCAAUCAGUGAUGAAAAUUCCCAAUUGGUAGAAUGCUGUUAAGAUUUAACCCGCAUGCUUUAGAUAAGAAUCACUAUGCAGCCAAACGAUCGUUUCAGAUGGAUCAUCCAACUAAUGUAAGUGCCCGUUUAAAAGUUCAAUCAGUGAUGAAAAAUUCCCAAUUGGUAGAAUGCUGUUCGGAUUUAACCCGCAUGCUUUAGAUAAGUAUCACUAUGCAGCAAAACGAUCGUUUUAGAUAGAUCAUCCAACUAAUGUAAGUGCCCGUUUGGUAUGUUGUAUAGUAUAAGGUCUGGUACAAUAAGGCCUGAUAGUAAUAGGUCUGAUUGUAUUAGGCCUGAUAAAAUUUUAAUAUUAUACAACGUUUGAUAAUACACUAUUUAACUUAUCAUUUCGUUUAAAUUAAUUUUUUUUUUUGAAAAUGAAAUUAAUAUUAUUAAGAAAAUGCUUGAGCCAAAAUAACUCAAGGCAAGAGUAACGUACAAUCUGAAACAUAAUGGUUCCUGACAAAACAAGUGCUUAAAAGUGCACCAAACCCACCACCAACCCGCAUGAUGGCUUCUAACAUGUUCCCAAGAAUGAGUCUCGUUAAAACCUUACUGAGAAAAACUCAUUGGGAAAAAACCCAGCAAGGAAAAAGAGUACCACCAACUUGGGAAAGCCAUCAUGCAUCUAUAAAACAUGCGAAAUAGGCCAAACGGCAACAGGAAAUUCGUAUACAGUAAAAACAACAGUAUUCCAAUCUCUAUUGCAUCAAAAUAGCGAAUAGAAUCAGCAACCAGACGAAACAGCAGCAACAGCAAUCAGCAAAACAGCAACAGCAACAACAACAGCAAACGCAGAAAACAUCAAAUAGCAAACAGGAAAACAGCAUCCAGCAACUCCAAACAGCAACCAACAAACAGCAAAACAGACCAAAGGAACAGCAACAGCAGCUUCAGCAACAACAAAGCAUAAAUCUGCAACAGCAGCAAGCAGCAAAACAGCAAAACAGCAAAACAGCAAGACAGCAUCCAGCAACCAAAAAACAGCAACCAAAAAACGGCGAAAACAGCAGCAAAAUAUGGCCGGAAUUUCCACACUCAAUUAGUUUACGGCCUGCAAAAAAUCAGUAUCAAAAGAAAAUACCAAAAUUGUUAUGUCAGCCUUGGUGCCCAACAUAAUGCCAAAUUGGCUCCUCACGAGAACAUCCCUCCUUUGCUAACUCAUCCGCCUCCAUGUUCCCCUCCCUCAAAAUAUGUGAUACCCCACGACAAGCCACCAAUGGAAGUAAAUAGUCAAUCAUAUUCAACUCAUGAGUUAAAUUCCAAGGUCAGUUUUUUGUCCCGCACACCCAUUCCACUGCAAGACUUGAGUCGCUCUCAAUUUCUACCGAAUAUACCAUGAACUGUUGGCAAAAUAAUAAGGCAUAUAAGAUUGCUAAAACCUCCGCCUCAUCCGCACGUUUUACCUCCACCUUUCUAGAGAAUUUCCCAACCACCUUCCUAACAUUAUUCCUCAGAAUCCCCCCAAUGCCCGCCCUUCCCGAUUGGAAAGAACCAUCCACAUUGAAUUUCAGAAACAAUCCUUGAGGUGGUUUCCAAGGUAUGACAGGCCGCGUGCUAACCUUAGCAUGUACAUCAAUUUUUGUGAAACCCCUUGCAGGCUCAUUUGCAUCAUAAGGACAAUCUUGCCACCAAGCUCUCAUCCAGGUAAAUAUUAAAAAUACAUGAGACUCCCAAAUGGCUUCUGGAUCAAAAAAUUUAUCAUGGAAAAUCACAUUAUUCCGUGUCAUUCAUAUCUCCCAGCAUAAUGCAUAAGGAAUCAAAUCCCAUAAAAUUCUUGAGGUACUUUUAUGCAACGCACCCCAUUCAUCCAGCAAUGUCGAAAUUGAUGCUGGAGCAGACCAGGAAAUGCCCUCCCUGUGUAACACAGCUAUCCAUAACAUCCAAAUUCUCGGACAAUGCAAAAAAAGAUGAGCCAUCGUCCCUGUUGUAGACAAGCAAAAUAUGCAGGACGCACCAUUCUCUAAGACCACCCCUCUUUGAGCCAGAUUCUCCUUAGAAGUUAUUCUGUUCUUCUGUACCUGCCACAAAAAUAAAGCAAUUUUGGAAGGUAAAAUAGGCCUUAAGAUUUGAGGUACUGACCAACCGUCCUCAGUGAACCAUCGAGCUUCUACUACUGCACACAUAGAUUUAACACUAUAAAGGCCCAUAUUAUCAUGCUUCCAAAUGAGCGAAUCAGCAUACGCCCUCUCCCCCUGUUUAGGAACCAAAGUCUGAAGAAGUGCCUGCAAAUCAUGAUACUAUUCUCUCUCCCAACCCAGAAAAUCUCGAACAAAAGCAAUAUUCCACACCCACUGAGGACCUGCGACUGUACCACACUCCCCCACCAUUGCCCUUUUAUUUACUGCCAAGGCAAACACCCGAGGGAAAGCCACGCUAAGAGGUGCAGCACCUACCCAAUGAUCCAGCCAGAAAAACACACCACUCCCCCUCCCUAUCUGACAAGCUAACCCAUCCCUAAAAACACUGCCCACUAGCCCACUAUCACGCCAAACGCCAUACACAUCUACCAAAGGCUUAGAUAAUUUUUUCACCUCAGCAGGAUCAACAUUAAAAGAUAUCAGCUGCAGCGGUAAACCAUAUUUUUUACAGACCACCUCCCUCCAAAGUGCAUCUCUCUCCCUGCCAAAACGCCACACCCACUUCAACAACAUAGCCUUAUUUUUCCAUUCAAGGAAACCAACUCCUAAUCCUCCAAACCGAGUACCUUUAAUAUAAACCUAUGUUUUGUGAAAUAUUGAAUAAUGAUAUAUAUUAUAAAAAUGAAGAUGGUGUUAGUGGGUGGUAAAAAUGGCGGUGGCGGUUUUUAUUUGUUUUACAUUAAUUGAGGGAAAAUCUGGUUUAUUGAGUAGAUUGAGUUUCAAUUAUGAAAGGGGGAAAUAUUCCUUAUUUGUUUAAGUUUUUAUUCAGUUUUUUUUAAAAGAAAAGGCUGAAUAAUUAUUUUUAUUUUCAAAUAUUGUAUUCAGUGUUUAUUCAGUGUGUGUAGGUGCCUUUCUAAAUCAGCUUAUACACUUGAAUGAAAAGAAAACCUCCCCCCUUUUCCUUCCCAAAACCUGCGGCCUCAACCCAAGCACAACUAGGGUUUUCAACUUUUCCUUCCCAAAACCUGCGGCCUCACCCAAGCACAACCAGAUUUUCCCUCAAUUAAUGUAAAACAAAUAAAAACAAGAUAUUCCCUUAUCUCUUUUUAUUCAAAUUUUCGGCCACACAUCCCUUGGCAUCCAAGCAACACGCAUUUCAUCUCUUUGAGGGUAAAACCUCACAAAAUCAUUUUAUUUCAAAGCACUCAAACAUUAUUAUUUCCAAAAUGAUAAUAUUUCACAUAUUUCAUGCAACUUUCACACGCAAAAAUCAAAAAAAUCACUAACAAGUCACACCUCAUUAUUUAUUCAAUAAAUAAUAUCAUUCAUAAAAAAUAGGGUCUUACAGCGGCCGGUGUGGCUGUGGUGGUGAUGGAGGGUGGUGGGUGUAGAAGUGGCAGCGGUGAUGUUGAGUGGUGGUUGGGGUGGUGGCGGCGGUGGAGGGUUGUGGCGGCGGUAAUGGCAGUGGUGGUUUAGGUGGUGGCAGCGACAAUGGUGGUGUUGGAAGUGAUGGUGAUGAUGGAUGGCGGUGGUAGCGGGGGAGGAAAGUGGUUGUAGUAGUGGUGGUGGUGGGACAUGGCGGUAUCUAGUAGUGGCGGGGAUGACAAUGACAGUUGAGGUGGUGGAGGUGGUGGUGGCGGUGGCGGUGGUGAUAGCGAUGAUAACAACGAAGGUGGUGGUUGUGGUGUGUAAAACCCGGAAUUAAUAGACAUUUAAUUUCCAUUAAUUAUGACAACGUGUACUAUUUUAUCUUAGUUUUAGGAAUUCUUAUUCUUAAGUUAUUUAUUUCUUUUAUGAAUAGAUGACCUGCACUAACAAGUCACAUUUCUUAGUUACCUGUGAUAGUCUAUACCAAAAGAUUAUUCUUUAUUCUUUUCCCCCUCAACCACCCAAUUAAUUCAUCCUUAUCCUCCCACCUCAUUUUCUAUCUUCUCCACCACUCAUUCAAAAUAUAUUUUCCUAUCACACUCUCUCCCCUCACGUGGGCCCUACCCCACCCAAUCAGAUUCAACCCCUCUCUCAUUCACGCUCUCUCCCUCUCAAUCGACGUUUUCUCUCCUCUCACCCACAACAUCUUCUUUUUCAUUUUCUUACUCCCUCCCCUGCAAACUCAACACAACCAUGGCAACACCUUCCUUCUGUAUACAUCAUCAUCAUCAUAAUCUGCUCCUACCUUCCUCCUUGACACAAGCAGCCACCACCAAACUCUCUUCUUCUCUCGUCCAUGGCCGCGAACGCACCACCACCGCGUGCCUAGCCGCCACCACCGUGCCUCCUCCUCGCCUUAGAGGCAGCCAUUGCCUUCGUCUUCUCCUUGCCUUGUUCCGAGAGUCCCACAUACGAGAAAAGGUCACAAAUAGAGUUGAACCGAGUAACAUUGCAAAGGCAUAAUGAUAGUCGUCGCCGCUCCACCACCACCUCCAGGGUAGAAGAAAACUGAUGCAAAACAGAGGAGAUGAAACCCUAAAACCGCCACCUUCAACCGUCGAUCUCCGGCGAACCGCUCAUCAACGGGAGAAACUAACACCACCAUUGGACUCCCUUCAGCGUCCGCAACAAAACCCCUCAAUCAAUUUGUCAUUCCGCCGCCAGCCACUAUGAACCACCGUCUUCACCGGCCAUCCUUCACCGGAGAAGUCACUAAACUUAGAAACAAGAAGCUCUUCCUCUCCUCUGUUUGAAUUAAUGAGCAAUUUAUGGUAAGGAACUCUCCUUUCUUCCAAUUUCUCAUUUACCCCUUUUAAAACCCUAAUUCUCCCCUCAUUCAUCUCCUAACUCCACGCUCUGGGCUACAUGUUCUUGCUGUUCAGUUCUGAUGAUCACUAAUAGAGAGGAGAGCCAUGGCCUGCAAAGAAGGACCCUCCCACUAAUUUCAGUCUUGAUAGGGUUGGCAUCUGUUAUCUGGAUCAAAUUAUUAUUGCAGAGUUUAGGUUUUCCUAAGUCAUAAAUCCCUUAUCAAUCUUGUUGUCCAAAUGCUAUGUAAAAUUUAAUGAAGGGAAAUAUAGAUUAGUGUAUCUCUGUGGUGUGAGUAUCAGUGCCAUGUUAUUCAUUUUAGAGGAUCUGAGAGUUUAGUCCUAAGUGUACAUGAAAGGUUUUUGUGAAAGCUUAAAUAAAAUUGCAGUUGUUUUGAAUAUGGUAGACAAUUGAUUUGUAAAAAACUUGUAUUUCCUAUCAUUUUUUGGAACUGUGUUCUUCGUAAGAAUUGUAGCCCUUUCUGUUAGAAAACUUUUUCCGCUGGUUUCAUGUGAAAGCCUAAAUAAAACUGUAGUUGUUUUGAAUAUGGUAGACAACUGAUAUGUAAAAAUCUUGUAUUUCCUAUCAGUUUUUGGAACUGUAUUCUUCAUAAGAAUUGUAGCACUUUCUGUUAGGAAACUUUUGCCAAUAGUUUCAUGUCGUUCCGACGUCUGUAGCUCAAGUUAUACGCUUUUCAAUGAGCAUGAGUUAAGCUAUUCCGUUUCUCACGAACUACUGUUAAUAUUUGAUUUUUUCUAAAUUUUGUACUUCGAAGUUAGCUUGAAAAUUUACAGAGAUUUACAAAACUUUAGACAAAUUCAUAAUAAAAAUUGGGGCGUUACAAUGACAAUCUUGAUGUUGGAGAUGUGACUUAGGAUUGAAUGUUGAAUUUUAAGAAGUUUAUGAGUUUCGCUAUAAAUACUUGAUUUUAGAAGGUUAAGGUUUUAAUCUUUAGAAGUUCGAUGACUCUUAUGUUAAGGUUAAGGUUUUAAUUUUUAAAUACGUCAAAUACACUCAGAAAAAUCUAAUAUUUUUAUUAUGAAUUCGUCUAAAGUUUUGUAAAUCUCUGUAAAUUUUCAAGCUAACUUCGAAGUACAAAUUUAGAAAAAAUCAAAUAUUAACAGCAGUUCCUGAGAAACGGGAUAGCUUAACCCAUGCUCACUGAAAAGCGUAUAACUUGAGCUACAGACGUCGGAACGACAUGAAACUAGUGGCAAAAGUUUCCUAACAGAAAGUGCUACAAUUCUUAUGAAGAAUACAGUUCCAAAAAACUGAUAGGAAAUACAAGAUUUUUACAUAUCAGUUGUCUACCAUAUUCAAAACAACUACAGUUUUAUUUAAGCUUUCACAUGAAACCAGUGGCAAAAGUUUUAUAACAGAAAGGGCUACAAUUCUUAUGAAGAACACAGUUCCAAAAACUGAUAUGAAAUACAAGAUUUUUACAUAUCAGUUGUCUACCAUAUUCAAAACAACUACAGUUUUAUUUAAGCUUUCACAAAAACCUUUCAUGUACAGUAAGGACUAAACUCUCAGGUCCUCUAAAAUGAAUAACAUGGCACUAAUACUCACACCACACACAUACACUAAUCUAUAUUUCCCUUCAUUAAAUUUUACAUAACAUUUGGACAACAAGAUUGACAAGGGAUUUAUGACUUAGGAAAACCUAAACUCUGCAGUAAUAAUUUGAUCCAGAUAAGAGAUACCAACCCUAUCAAGGUUGAAAUCAAUGGGAGGGUCCUUCUUUGCAAGCCAUGGCUCUCCUCUCUAUUAGUGAUCAUCAAAACUGAACAGCAAGAACAUAUAGCCCAGAGUGUGGAGUUAGAAGAUGAAUGAGGGGAGAAUUAGGGUUUUAAAAGGGGUAAAUGAGAAAUUGGAAGAAAGGAGAGUUCCUUACCAUAAAUUGCUCAUCAAUUUGAACAGAGGAGAGGAAGAGCUUCCUGUUUCUAAGUUCAGUGACUUCUCCGGAGAAGACGGUGCCUGGCGGAGGGCGACGGAAUGAAAAAUUGAUGGAGGGGUUUUGUUGCGGACAGUGAGGAGAGUCCAAUGGUGGUGUUAGUUUCUCCAGUUGAUGAGCAGUUCGGCGGAGAUCGAGGGGUGAAGGUGGCGGUUUUAGGGUUUCAUCUCCUCUGUUUUGAAUCAAUUUUCUUC
Long non-coding RNA from Lotus japonicus, 7993 nucleotides. RefSeq lists it as uncharacterized. NCBI's taxonomy places the organism in Eukaryota, Viridiplantae, Streptophyta, Magnoliopsida, Fabales, Fabaceae. The record is from RefSeq and is a predicted model, not a curated record. The transcript is spliced from 5 exons.